AGUGAACGCUGGCGGUAGGCCUAACACAUGCAAGUCGAACGGCAGCACAGUAAGAGCUUGCUCUUACGGGUGGCGAGUGGCGGACGGGUGAGGAAUACAUCGGAAUCUACUUUUUCGUGGGGGAUAACGUAGGGAAACUUACGCUAAUACCGCAUACGACCUACGGGUGAAAGCAGGGGAUCUUCGGACCUUGCGCGAUUGAAUGAGCCGAUGUCGGAUUAGCUAGUUGGCGGUGUAAAGGCCCACCAAGGCGACGAUCCGUAGCUGGUCUGAGAGGAUGAUCAGCCACACUGGAACUGAGACACGGUCCAGACUCCUACGGGAGGCAGCAGUGGGGAAUAUUGGACAAUGGGCGCAAGCCUGAUCCAGCCAUACCGCGUGGGUGAAGAAGGCCUUCGGGUUGUAAAGCCCUUUUGUUGGGAAAGAAAAGCAGCAGGUUAAUACCCCGCUGUUCUGACGGUACCCAAAGAAUAGCACCGGCUAACUUCGUG
This 491-nucleotide ribosomal RNA is filed under the name uncultured bacterium. RNAcentral describes it as "partial 16S ribosomal RNA". It matches the Rfam family "Bacterial small subunit ribosomal RNA", at positions 29 to 507 of the family's 1533-position model. The record is from RNAcentral.